GGUGAGAUGGCCGAGCGGUCUAAGGCGCCAGACUAAGGAUCAGCUCAUUGGAUGAGCAAGUUAUCUGGUCCUCCGGGGCGUGGGUUCGAAUCCCACUCUCAUCA
This 104-nucleotide transfer RNA is filed under the name Suillus spraguei. RNAcentral describes it as "tRNA-Leu". It matches the Rfam family "tRNA". From Rfam's summary of the family: Transfer RNA (tRNA) molecules are approximately 80 nucleotides in length. Their secondary structure includes four short double-helical elements and three loops (D, anti-codon, and T loops). Further hydrogen bonds mediate the characteristic L-shaped molecular structure. tRNAs have two regions of fundamental functional importance: the anti-codon, which is responsible for specific mRNA codon recognition, and the 3' end, to which the tRNAs corresponding amino acid is attached (by aminoacyl-tRNA synthetases). tRNAs cope with the degeneracy of the genetic code in two manners: having more than one tRNA (with a specific anti-codon) for a particular amino acid; and 'wobble' base-pairing, i.e. permitting non-standard base-pairing at the 3rd anti-codon position. The record is from RNAcentral. Lineage: Eukaryota; Fungi; Basidiomycota; Agaricomycetes; Boletales; Suillaceae. RNAcentral also lists the same sequence under 3 other names.